RNAcentral lists this unclassified non-coding RNA (327 nucleotides) under soil metagenome. RNAcentral describes it as "partial contains 5.8S ribosomal RNA, internal transcribed spacer 2, and large subunit ribosomal RNA". The stretch from base 1 to 120 matches the Rfam family "5.8S ribosomal RNA", at positions 35 to 154 of the family's 154-position model. The record is from RNAcentral.
GAUGAAGAACGUAGCGAAAUGCGAUAAGUAAUGUGAAUUGCAGAAUUCAGUGAAUCAUCGAAUCUUUGAACGCACAUUGCGCCCCUUGGUAUUCCGGGGGGCAUGCCUGUUCGAGCGUCAUUAUAACCCCUCAAGCUCAGCUUGGUGUUGGGGCCUGCCAACUGGCAGCCCUUAAAAUCAGUGGCGGCGCCAUCUGGCUCUAAGCGUAGUAAUUUCUCUCGCUAUAGGGUCCCGGUGGAUGCUUGCCAACAACCCCCAAUUUUCUAUGGUUGACCUCGGAACAGGUAGGGAUACCCGCUGAACUUAAGCAUAUCAAUAAGCGGAGGA